UACGAAGGGGGCUAGCGUUGCUCGGAAUUACUGGGCGUAAAGGGCGCGUAGGCGGCGCGAUAAGUUGGGCGUGAAAGGCCCGGGCUCAACCCGGGGACUGCGCUUGAUACUGUCGCGCUGUGAGUCCGGGAGAGGAUGGCGGAAUUCCCAGUGUAGAGGUGAAAUUCGUAGAUAUUGGGAAGAACACCGGUGGCGAAGGCGGCCAUCUGGACCGGCACUGACGCUGAGGCGCGAAAGCGUGGGGAGCAAACAGG
Molecule: ribosomal RNA, 254 nt
Filed under: uncultured bacterium
Lineage: Bacteria
Description: partial 16S ribosomal RNA
Rfam family: Bacterial small subunit ribosomal RNA
Source: RNAcentral